Molecule: transfer RNA, 75 nt
Filed under: bacterium HR15
Lineage: Bacteria
Description: tRNA-Val
Rfam family: tRNA
About the family: Transfer RNA (tRNA) molecules are approximately 80 nucleotides in length.
Source: RNAcentral
GGGCAGUUAGCUCAGUGGUAGAGUGCUUCGUUCACACCGAAGAGGUCGCUGGUUCGAGUCCAGCACUGCCCACCA